UUUGUAGUCCUGUUGUGUGGUGUAAAAAACGGUAUAAAGCGGUUCUAUUAAACUCUAAAGAGCAAAUUAAGAGUGUAUAUAUAUAUAAAAUAUCUAUAAAUCCGUACCGUUAUUUCUUAUCAUUAUCGUAAUUUGUGUACCUUAAAUUCGUUAUAACGUUUCAUUUAAUCGUUAAAUAUUAUAAAAAUUCUUAAAAAAUCGUAUCGUAUGUAGUAUAUGUAUGUGAGUGUUAAAAUCGUACGACUAUCAAAAUUUGGAUUGAGUCCUUGGAUUACUAUUAAUGACAUCAUUAUCGUUAAACAUAUUACUUUAUUGUGUUACAUAACCUCAAAUUUAACUUUGGAUUAUUCUCAAAUAAAAUAUGAGGCAAAAGUAAAAUGAAAAUGACCCAUAACUGCCAAUUUGGCACAAACUCGUAUUCGUACAACAAAUCUACAAUAAGAACUACUAACUUACGCCCAAGCCCCGUAAAAGUGAGGAUGGUGAUGAUGAAGUUAGUGAUGACUGCCGUGAUUUCAUUAUAAAUAAAUUAAAAGGAAUUAUGGAUACACCAAUGAACCGACAAUAGUCAGCAAGUCGCUAGAAAUAAUUAUUAAGCCUGCUCUGCAAUAAAAUAACGGGGAAAAACUCAUAAAAAUAGAUUAUAAACGACAGGAUAUACAAACCAAUAUAAACAGCAUAACAAGCAACCACCACCCACCAAGUGUUAAAAGCAAAAAAAAAAAAGGAUAUAAAAAGUAAAACGAAAUACCAAGUAAAUCCAAAGUUCCAUUUCAAUUUGUAAUUUGUUGAAAUCGAAUAACUUAAUAAACGUGUUAUAAAUAACAAAAUCAAAAGAAAGUAGACACUGGAAAAAAAGCAACGUGUGAACGAAUGAAAGUGUUAAAAUUAUCGUGUGAAACGUACGCCAAAGUUCUGUAGUUUAAGUUAAAUUUUCAAAAUUGUAUAUGCGCUAAAAACGACCACCCGCAUUGAAUCCUUAUAAACCAAAAAAAACAACAUCUACAACAACCAACCACAAAAGUACAAAAUCAUUUAAAGUCACAACAAAAAGUUCUAACUUUUCCAACAACAUGAAGGGUUUAACGGCGUUUAAGGAAAAAGCCACAG
Molecule: long non-coding RNA, 1110 nt
Organism: Lucilia sericata (common green bottle fly)
Lineage: Eukaryota; Metazoa; Arthropoda; Insecta; Diptera; Calliphoridae
Exons: 3
Source: RefSeq, a predicted model, not a curated record